UACGUAGGGGGCAAGCGUUGUCCGGAUUUAUUGGGCGUAAAGAGCGUGUAGGCGGCUUUACAGGUCCGUUGUGAAAACUCGAGGCUCAACCUCGAGACGCCGGUGGAAACUGUAAAGCUAGAGUCCGGAAGAGGAGAGUGGAAUUCCUGGUGUAGCGGUGAAAUGCGCAGAUAUCAGGAAGAACACCAGUGGCGAAGGCGGCUCUCUGGGACGGUACUGACGCUGAGACGCGAAAGCGUGGGGAGCGAACAGG
RNAcentral lists this ribosomal RNA (253 nucleotides) under uncultured bacterium. RNAcentral's name for it is "partial 16S ribosomal RNA". It matches the Rfam family "Bacterial small subunit ribosomal RNA", at positions 524 to 776 of the family's 1533-position model. The record is from RNAcentral.